Molecule: ribosomal RNA, 253 nt
Filed under: uncultured bacterium
Lineage: Bacteria
Description: partial 16S ribosomal RNA
Rfam family: Bacterial small subunit ribosomal RNA
Source: RNAcentral
UACAGGGGGGGCAAGCGUUGUUCGGAAUUACUGGGCGUAAAGGGUCUGUAGGUGGCUUGCUAAGUCAGACGUGAAAUCCCUCAGCUUAACUGGGGAACUGCGUCCGAUACUGGAUGGCUUGAGUUUGGGAGAGGGAUGCGGAAUUCCAGGUGUAGCGGUGAAAUGCGUAGAUAUCUGGAGGAACACCGGUGGCGAAGGCGGCAUCCUGGACCAACACUGACACUGAGGAGCGAAAGCCAGGGGAGCAAACGGG